UACGAAGGCUACAAGCGUUAUCCGGAUUUAUUGGGCGUAAAGGGCGCGUAGGAGGCAAGGUGUGUUUCUGGUGAAAUUCCGAGGCUUAACUUCGGGAAGUGCUGAAAAACUACCUAGCUAGAGGACAUUAGAGGCAUAUGGAACACACGGUGUAGGGGUGACAUCCGUUGAUAUCGUGUGGAACACCAAAGGCGAAGGCAUUAUGCUGGGAUGUUCCUGACUCUGAGGCGCGAAAGCGUGGGGAGCAAAAAGG
Molecule: ribosomal RNA, 253 nt
Filed under: uncultured bacterium
Lineage: Bacteria
Description: partial 16S ribosomal RNA
Rfam family: Bacterial small subunit ribosomal RNA
Source: RNAcentral